Molecule: transfer RNA, 72 nt
Filed under: Portunus trituberculatus (swimming crab)
Lineage: Eukaryota; Metazoa; Arthropoda; Malacostraca; Decapoda; Portunidae
Description: tRNA-Asp
Rfam family: tRNA
About the family: Transfer RNA (tRNA) molecules are approximately 80 nucleotides in length. Their secondary structure includes four short double-helical elements and three loops (D, anti-codon, and T loops).
Source: RNAcentral
UCCUCGGUAGUAUAAUGGUUAGUAUCCCCGCCUGUCACGCGGGAGACCGGGGUUCGAUUCCCCGUCGGGGAG